This 306-nucleotide long non-coding RNA is filed under the name Elaeis guineensis (African oil palm). Its description in RNAcentral is "long non-coding RNA (EGUI_LNC002263)". Lineage: Eukaryota; Viridiplantae; Streptophyta; Magnoliopsida; Arecales; Arecaceae. The record is from RNAcentral.
CUUUUUGUUCUUUCUUUCUUUUUUUUCUUUUUUUUUUUUCCUUCUCUUCCUUCGUGAAACUACGGACUCUUGCUCUCUAUUUUCCCCUAGAAUAGAGGAGGCAUCUUGCUGGCAUUGGUUGUGGCCGACUAUGUGAAUCAUGACGCUGUAGUUGGAGGUUUAACCAGCGGUUGGUGGUAAUGAUCGGCACUCAAAAAAUUUCAAAAUUAUCAUAAAAAAAUAGGAUGAAAAAUUUUAGAGGCUUAGUUUUUCGAGUAAAAUCUGACGAUAGUCGGCCGGAAUCAAAGCUUUAAGCACUAAGAAGGA